Molecule: ribosomal RNA, 492 nt
Filed under: uncultured bacterium
Lineage: Bacteria
Description: partial 16S ribosomal RNA
Rfam family: Bacterial small subunit ribosomal RNA
Source: RNAcentral
AGUGAACGCUGGCGGUAGGCCUAACACAUGCAAGUCGAACGGCAGCACAGUAAGAGCUUGCUCUUACGGGUGGCGAGUGGCGGACGGGUGAGGAAUACAUCGGAAUCUACUUUUUCGUGGGGGAUAACGUAGGGAAACAUACGCUAAUACCGCAUAUGACCUACGGGUGAAAGCAGGGGAUCUUCGGACCUUGCGCGAUUGAAUGAGCCGAUGUCGGAUUAGCUAGUUGGCGGGGUAAAGGCCCACCAAGGCAACGAUACGUAGCUGAUCUGAGAGGAUGAUCAGCCACACUGGAACUGAGACACGGUCCAGACUCCUACGGGAGGCAGCAGUGGGGAAUAUUGGGCAAUGGGCGCAAGCCUGAUCCAGCCAUACCGCGUGAGUGAAGAAGGCCUUCGGGUUGUAAAGCCCUUUUGUUGGGAAAGAAAAGCAGCAGGUUAAUACCCCGCUGUUCUGACGGUACCCAAAGAAUAAGCACCGGCUAACUUCGUG